Molecule: long non-coding RNA, 383 nt
Filed under: Phascolarctos cinereus (koala)
Lineage: Eukaryota; Metazoa; Chordata; Mammalia; Diprotodontia; Phascolarctidae
Description: lncRNA (ENSPCIG00000002842.2)
Source: RNAcentral
CGGGCGUUGCAGCUCCGCCGCCCACCUCUGCGCAGGCAGCACCUUGGGCAGCGAUGGCGCCGCAGUCUCCUUGAUGUUUCUGCUGCAGUGGCAGGGAGCUCUGCUCCUGGAAGCGGGGUCUGAGACGCCCAUUAGUGCCAAGCGGAGCCUGGAGUGGGGGCCUGGAAUAGAAGCAGAGACAGCAAAGACGGAUGUCCUAAAUUAGUGCAGCUGUCCAAGGAAAAUCCAGAAUUACUCAAUGCAAGAAUUACUGGAUAUCUGUUUUUCUAAGAAAAGGAAAAAGAGCUGCAAGAGUUCAGUUGGUGGAUGUCUUUGACUUGUUCAGGUAUGAUUCAUGUCAUCCUCAUAGAUCUGAUUUUCUUUAAAAAGACAACCAAGUAACU